This is a long non-coding RNA of Salmo salar (Atlantic salmon), 542 nucleotides long. RefSeq lists it as uncharacterized. The record is from RefSeq and is a predicted model, not a curated record. NCBI's taxonomy places the organism in Eukaryota, Metazoa, Chordata, Actinopteri, Salmoniformes, Salmonidae.
AUCUUCUGAUGACACGACAAACACUAGCAUUACCUGCAGCCCUUGGCUUCCUCUCUUCCAGAAUCCUCAUUAUUAAUUCCAUCCUGAUGAAUGAGAGCACACCCAGACAUGCUUCAGCUCAGAUUGUAUAAAAAGAGAAAAAGGUGCUCUACUGAGGAUUUAGAAAUCCAAAAAGAAACAUCUUACCCCAGGACCCUUCACAGGAUCACUAUCCCAGAAAACUGGUUGGUUAAUGAGUUGAGGUCAAGGAUCACAGCAGGCAGGCCUACUUCUAUCCCUGCUCAACCCCGCUUUAUCUCGGCCUCGGAGGAGACUUGGAUCCCGAGGCAGAGGAUGGUGUGCAAGGAGGGUAGAGUGGAGACAGGCGUCUCUUGAGUUGGAUGUGACCUGAUGCGACGUGCACUUGCGUCUGCCUCCAUGGAAGAUCAUUUUUCCACAUCAAGAGCGGUCAAUGUUAACCUUAUUGUUUUGUUUUUCUUCUUUUGUCAGUGGGUUUUGAGAUUAUUUUUGCAAUGACAAGCACUAUAAAAAAUUCUAGAUCA